RNAcentral lists this ribosomal RNA (614 nucleotides) under uncultured cyanobacterium. RNAcentral describes it as "bacterial SSU rRNA". It matches the Rfam family "Bacterial small subunit ribosomal RNA", at positions 122 to 770 of the family's 1533-position model. Lineage: Bacteria; Bacillati; Cyanobacteriota. The record is from RNAcentral.
GAAUCUGGCUUCAGGUUCGGGACAACAGUUGGAAACGGCUGCUAAUACCGGAUGUGCCUUAUGGUGAAAGAUUUAUCACCUGAAGAUGAGCUCGCGUCUGAUUAGCUAGUAGGUGUGGUAAGAGCGCACCUAGGCGACGAUCAGUAGCUGGUCUGAGAGGAUGAUCAGCCACACUGGGACUGAGACACGGCCCAGACUCCUACGGGAGGCAGCAGUGGGGAAUUUUCCGCAAUGGGCGAAAGCCUGACGGAGCAAUACCGCGUGAGGGAGGAAGGCUCUUGGGUUGUAAACCUCUUUUCUCAGGGAAGAAUGAUGACGGUACCUGAGGAAUAAGCAUCGGCUAACCCCGUGCCAGCAGCCGCGGUAAUACGGAGGAUGCAAGCGUUAUCCGGAAUGAUUGGGCGUAAAGCGUCCGCAGGUGGCAAUGUAAGUCUGCUGUCAAAGCGUCUGGCUCAACCAGAUAAAGGCAGUGGAAACUACAUAGCUAGAGUAAGGUAGGGGUAGAGGGAAUUCCUGGUGCAGCGGUGAAAUGCGUAGAGAUCAGGAAGAACACCGGUGGCGAAAGCGCUCUGCUGGACCUUAACUGACACUGAGGGACGAAAGCUAGGGGAGCG